AGCGUAGACGGUGUGGCAAGUCUGAUGUGAAAGGCAUGGGCUCAACCUGUGGACUGCAUUGGAAACUGUCAUACUUGAGUGCCGGAGGGGUAAGCGGAAUUCCUAGUGUAGCGGUGAAAUGCGUAGAUAUUAGGAGAACACCAGUGGCGAAGGCGGCUUACUGGACGGUAACUGACGUUGAGGCUCGAAAGCGUGGGAGCAAACA
RNAcentral lists this ribosomal RNA (205 nucleotides) under uncultured bacterium. RNAcentral's name for it is "partial 16S ribosomal RNA". It matches the Rfam family "Bacterial small subunit ribosomal RNA", at positions 568 to 774 of the family's 1533-position model. The record is from RNAcentral.